Molecule: microRNA precursor, 109 nt
Filed under: Chlorocebus sabaeus (green monkey)
Lineage: Eukaryota; Metazoa; Chordata; Mammalia; Primates; Cercopithecidae
Description: miRNA (ENSCSAG00000025754.1)
Source: RNAcentral
UGUGGCAGGAGAAUCGCUUGAACCCAGGAGGCGGAGGUUGCAGUGAGCUGAAAUUGCGCCAUUACACUCCAGCCUGGGUGACAGAGACUCCAUCUCAAAAAAAAAAAAA